GACGAACGCUGGCGGCGUGCUUAACACAUGCAAGUCGAACGGAGAGGCCCUGCUUUUGUGGGGUGCUCGAGUGGCGAACGGGUGAGUAACACGUGAGUAACCUGCCCUUGACUUUGGGAUAACUUCAGGAAACUGGGGCUAAUACCGGAUAGGAGCUCCUGCUGCAUGGUGGGGGUUGGAAAGUUUCGGCGGUUGGGGAUGGACUCGCGGCUUAUCAGCUUGUUGGUGGGGUAGUGGCUUACCAAGGCUUUGACGGGUAGCCGGCCUGAGAGGGUGACCGGCCACAUUGGGACUGAGAUACGGCCCAGACUCCUACGGGAGGCAGCAGUGGGGAAUAUUGCACAAUGGGCGGAAGCCUGAUGCAGAAACGCCGCGUGCGGGAUGACGGCCUUCGGGUUGUAAACCGCUUUCGCCUGUGACGAAGCGUGAGUGACGGUAAUGGGUAAAGAAGCACCGGCUAACUACGUG
This 468-nucleotide ribosomal RNA is filed under the name uncultured bacterium. RNAcentral describes it as "partial 16S ribosomal RNA". It matches the Rfam family "Bacterial small subunit ribosomal RNA", at positions 28 to 507 of the family's 1533-position model. The record is from RNAcentral.